CAGCCAAUCAUGGGCGUUCAGGGAGAGAUCCGUUAUCGACCGUUAUUUUUUGUUUGAUCUUCCGGAGCGCGUGCGGGCGAGCGUUGUGCGACGUUCGCGAAACCGAGACCUUUGGCGGUGCGCGUCUGCGCGUUAGAUGUUUCUUUCAACCAGUUCGGCGGGAUGGCUGCUGUGUAUCUAUGGACACUACUGUGCAGCAAAGUGGUGCCGGAACACGACGAAAACCGCUGACAGCAGUUUUUUCCGUUUUACGACGGACGACAGAGCCAGUAAAUGUAUAUGCUAGUGAAAUCGCCCAGAAUUCAAGUUGUUGCCUCUGAGCAAACUCCGCGAGCGUCGUCUCUGCGGCGAAGAUUUCGCCGCGUCUGCCUUCAGAAGUUCAAGGAGGACACGACUCCGAGAUAAUGCGUGCCCAUCUGUCCUAGUGACAAAUCCACUAUUGAAGGCCCUCGUCUCUCCAGAGUUCCUCGCUCCUGGCUUUCGCCUAACUGGUGCGUCCACCGCCUCCACUUUAGAUCCACCUGCAGCCCCAGUUGAGCCAGGACCAUCACACAGCACAGACCAAGGGCUGGAAGACCACAUGUGUUCCUGAUCAGGCUCUGACUGACUCUUAUGCACAGGAAGACCUCCGCGCUUUCUGAGUCAGAACCGUGCGCUUUGGUUUGGACGGGCAAAACUGCGGGCGAGCGCGC
This is a long non-coding RNA of Ixodes scapularis (black-legged tick), 692 nucleotides long. RefSeq lists it as uncharacterized. The transcript is spliced from 5 exons. The record is from RefSeq and is a predicted model, not a curated record. Lineage: Eukaryota; Metazoa; Arthropoda; Arachnida; Ixodida; Ixodidae.